GACGAACGCUGGCGGCGUGCUUAACACAUGCAAGUCGAACGGAAAGGCCCUGCUUUUGUGGGGUGCUCGAGUGGCGAACGGGUGAGUAACACGUGAGUAACCUGCCCUUGACUUUGGGAUAACUUCAGGAAACUGGGGCUAAUACCGGAUAGGAGCUCCUGCUGCAUGGUGGGGGUUGGAAAGUUUCGGCGGGUGGGGAUGGACUCGCGGCUUAUCAGCUUGUUGGUGGGGUAGUGGCUUACCAAGGCUUUGACGGGUAGCCGGCCUGAGAGGGUGACCGGCCACAUUGGGACUGAGAUACGGCCCAGACUCCUACGGGAGGCAGCAGUGGGGAAUAUUGCACAAUGGGAGGAAGCCUGAUGCAGCAACGCCGCGUGCGGGAUGACGGCCUUCGGGUUGUAAACCGCUUUCGCCUGUGACGAAGCGUGAGUGACGGUAAUGGGUAAAGAAGCACCGGCUAACUACGUG
Molecule: ribosomal RNA, 468 nt
Filed under: uncultured bacterium
Lineage: Bacteria
Description: partial 16S ribosomal RNA
Rfam family: Bacterial small subunit ribosomal RNA
Source: RNAcentral